GCGAAGAUAAAAACACAGUUCCGGUUGGUAGUCCGGACGCGGCGUGCGCCGUCAGUAACCUGCCUCCUUGGUUGUCCGUUCUUCGCCCAAAA
Molecule: non-coding RNA, 92 nt
Filed under: chicken gut metagenome
Description: yjdF RNA
Rfam family: azaaromatic riboswitch aptamer (yjdF RNA)
Source: RNAcentral